GCCACUGCACUCCAGCCUGGUGACAGAACGAGACUCCGUCUUAAAAAAAAAAAAAAAGUAUCAGUGUCCAGCUUCUUGGGUUUGGUAAAUUCCAGGAUGGCAAGCCUUUGUAGUGUCUCCUCGUCAACCUGAACGUCAGCUAUACCAUGCCUCCACCCUCAUGUGGCCUGACCGGAGAUGGUUCUGGUGGAGAUGCCCUCUGUCACCGGCCCAGCUCAUGAGAGCCAUUACCAAAUAUGUGAGUGUUCUUUAGAGUGAGGGUGACUCACGGGAAAUUCACAUGGUUCUGCUUUCUACGGCAAAGUUUGCAUUUUCCUCACCUGCACUGUUUAUGUUCUGCUGUGGUCCUUUGUGCUGGUGGUCAUGGUCCUCCCGUCACAGCAUGGGAUAGUAGUGGAUUAGGAAACGAGGUGUUGGUUCUCAGAAAAGGCAUGAUGGAAACCCAGAGCAGGAAGUGCUUUGUGCAGACGACAAAGAACCUUUUUUUGCUUUUUCAGUUGUUUUCUCUUUUCUACUUACCUCUCAUCCCUUUACAGUGUUAUCUGUUUGCUUUACCUCUUUCUUACCUCCAAGCCCCAAAACAUGGCAGGAGAGGAUGUAACUGAGGUUCCCACGAUAAUUUAGAACACAGGAAAUACAGCCUGUCUUGCUUUGUAUAAGGUUUUUUUCUGGUAAGGAAGAGCUUUAAUAUCUUAUGGCAUGAAACUAGCUUUCCUGUAAAAAAUCUAGAGUUAGCUUAUCUCCAGGUAGGUACCUACUUUUGUGAUCUCCACACUCCAUCUUAUUUUAUGGGCCAGGUCUGGAAGUACAGUUUGGACAUCUCAUCUGCUUUGCAGGGAGAUGGGCAUCAGGGCCUCCGUCGUGGGCUCUGUGAUCAGGUUCUCCAUCUCUGUGAUAAGGCGCUUACUGCCAGUUGUGUUAUUGGUUGUGACUUCUAGCAAUGCCUGUGCUCAGCAGUACUUCGUGGGCUGGCCUGAUAAUUGAUUUCAGUUAUUUUGUCUAAAAUUCAUUUCAGAAAUGAAGAUCUAGCAAAAUGAAGUGACUCACUAAAUUGCUGUACUCAACAAAAUUCCGUAGCUUUAUCUCAUUCACUUGCAGUUUCUUUUGUUAAGCCUCGACCCACUCAGUCUACUACAUGUAAGAGCAAAUCCUCCAUAUACCCCAUCUCAAGGUACUGGGGUUGCAUCAUCGGGUGACAUGUUGAGGAUACAGUGUUUGUGGGAACACUGAUGGAAGGUUACUUGUGUUGGACGGUCAUAUUACAGGCACACCUCAUUUUAUUGUACUUGCUUUAUGUGUUUUCACAGAUACAGUGGAGUUUCUUUUCCAUAUUGAAGGUUUGUGGGAACCCUGCUUCAAGCAGAUCUGUUGGUGCCGUUUUUCCAACAGCAUGUGCUCACUUUUUGGCAAUAAUAUAUUUUAAAUUAAAGUAUAUAAUUGGAUUCUUUAAGACAUAAUGCUAUUGCUCACUUUCUACUAUCAUGUAGCAUAAACAUUUUAAUAUGCACUGGGAAACCAAAACAUUUGUGUGACCCACUUUACUGUGAUAUUUGCUUUAUUGCGAUGGCCUGGAACCAAGUCUGCAGCAUCUCCGAGGGAUGCUAUACAGAGAAGCUGUCUCUUCGCAGUUCUUCUGGGUGUCUGAAAACAUAUCCACCAGAAACACCAAGUUGAAGUCAUGUUCUCGCCUCUGCCCGUUUCUGGUGGCUCUGCUGGCCAUUUAGAAGCACGUGGGAAUGGCACGGCUCGGCCUUCCUUUUUGCUCAGAAGAGAAGUUUGGGUUGACUUUAAGCAUUUGGCCCAAGUUCCUAACUUGGAAUUAACGACCAUGGGCAGAGUUCCACGUGAAUUUCUCAACUGGACAAGUGGAACACAAGGACCCGAAUUUUCUCUUCCCCUCAGAUCGUCCAUAGAUGAAAAAUGAAGGCCCAGAGGAUUAAAUACAGACAGAAUUUAUGUUCCUAAUACUGAUGCCAAGGACAGGAAGACCUUGACUAGUCUCGGGAGGACGCCCUGCCUGAAGUACCAACCCUUCUGCAGUGGUGAGUGACUGGCACAGGGUAAAACUCUACAGUAAUGAUUUGCAUUGCGCUAUCCCCUUUCUAGGGGCUGAAUCCCACUAUCAUACUUGCCCUUAGAAAGAGUCACGAAAAGUGCUUAGCAGGUGACUGGCUCAAUUAAUAGUCACUACUGAAAGCAAAUACUCUCUGGUUGGACUGUUUUCUUCUCUGGGGAAUGAAGGGGUAAGCCUAGACCAGUGGUUCUCAGGUUCCUGGACCAACGGCAUCACCUGGGAACUUGUCAGAAAUGCCAAAACUCUGGGAGAGGCAUCCAAUAAACGACACUGUAACCAGCCCCCCAGGUGAUCACCAGGCACAUGGUCAAGUCUGAGAGAUGCUGCUUUUAAUUAAGGUUUCGAAAAGUAUGGCUGGAAGAACACUGGUCUAGAAAUGCUCUAAUGUCAAGGACAUUAGAGAGAAAUGCACAAUUUGGUCCCUUCAGCAGUUUCUUGAUAUGUGUGGGCACAGUAAUGGCUCCAAGAAGUUCCAAAAUAAAGAAACCUGUUUGACUUGA
This 2574-nucleotide long non-coding RNA is filed under the name Homo sapiens (human). RNAcentral describes it as "HSALNT0345993". The record is from RNAcentral. Lineage: Eukaryota; Metazoa; Chordata; Mammalia; Primates; Hominidae.